AACGCAAUAUUUUUUUUUAGUAUAUUUAAAAGUUGGUUUAUUAAUUGUUAUAUAAUAUAUAAUAUAAUAUGGAGUAUUAUUGAUAAUAAUACUGAAUUUUGUAGAAUAUUAUAUAAUAACAUUUCUCCAAUUCAUUUUUUAAAACUUAAUGAAUUCAUUUGCUUAUUUUGUAAUCUUUAAUAAUAUAUUUUAUAUAUUUUAAAAAUUAAUUAGAUUUUUAUAAUGAGUCCAUUUUUUCCAUUAAUGUGCACUAUAAUAAAAUUAUGAAAACUAUGUUUUUUAAUCCAAUUUCCUUAUUUUGUUACUUAUUAACAGUUAGUUAUACUUUUUAUUGUUGUACUUUUUCUAUUUGGAAUCCAUGUUUUUCAAUAAUCUAUAUAAAUUAUGAAUUUUUCAUAGGAAAUUUAUUUAUUUUUUUUUCAGUAAAAAAUUCAUAUGACGUUUUUUAAUCUUAUUUUUUGCAGAUUUUAUUUUUUCUAUUUUUUAAUUAUUUUAAAUACAUCAUUUAUAUAUUAUUCUAAAUAUAUAAUAUUCUAUUUUUGGAUGAUUUUAAAUAAAAAGUACUCACAAUUUUUUUCUUUAAUGUGAUAACUGAUAAUUUAUAUAAAUAUUUUAAAUAAAUUUUAAAUAUUAUUAAUUAGAUUUGAGAGAGAUUGUCUAAUUAUAAGAAUAUAGUAAAAAAUAAUAAGAUAUUAUGUAUUGUAAUUUAUAAACCUGAUUAUUAAUAUAUAAAUUUAAAAUAAUUUGCAAUUAAAUUUUGUUCAGAUGUUUAAAUUUUACUAAAAAUAGGAAAAAUCUUAAAAAUUAUAAUAAUUUUAAUUGAUUUUUUUAAAUCAAUUAAAUUUUAAUUGAUUUUUUUAAAUCAAUUAAAUUUUAAUUGAUUUUAUUAAAAACUAUAUAUACAAUAUUAAUUAUUUUUUUUCUCUCUCUCAUUCUUUCACAGAUUCUUCUGCACAUAUUUUUUUUCUUUAGAUACUUCCAUUGAUAGAUAGAAUAGUAUGGAUGCUGAUAUCUCUUCCUGAAUUAUUGGAUCAAUUAUUUUUUUUUCAAUGGCAUUUUUAGAAGAUAGAUAUGUGCUUUUUCUAUUUUUAUGUUUUUAUUCUCUUCAUUAAUUAUAUAUUUUUAAUAGUUAAAUAAUUUCUCUUUUGUUUUGAAAUAUUGCAAAGUUUUUCUAUUCAAUUCUUUUCUUUUCUUUUUUUUUCUUCUUUUUUUUUUGCUAUAUCAUAGAACAAAUAUAUUCUUCAUUAUGAUUUUAAUAAUCUCGAAAUAAUAACAUGUUUAUUUCUUUUUGUUUUCUAAUGACUACAAUAAUCCCCAUUCAUAUUACUCAUGCAACUCAUUCAUUUUUAAAGCAAAAUAAUAAUAAUUUUCUCAAUAAAUUUAUGUAAUAAAAUUUAAUGACAAUUAUAAUUUCCCAUCACUAACAGCAACAAUAAUUCAUGCGAUUGGUUCAUUAUAAAUCUGAAUGCGGUUGGUCUCAUCUAAUUUUGACAUCUUCUUAAUAUUACUAUCCAAAGUGAAAAAUGUUUUAUAUAAAAGUUAUUCAAUAAAUUGAAAAGAAUAAUGUUAUUAAUUCUUAAUUAGAAGGAGAAUAUUAAUUCUUUCAUGAUGCAAAUGUCACAUAAAAAUUAACUUUUUUAAAGAUUAAUGUUUUUUUUUAAAUAAAAUUAUAUAUUUUUUAAUAUAUCAAUCAACAUAAUUCUUUAAAAAAAGUAUUAAUUCAUAUAUCUAAAAAUUAUUAUUUUAGAAGAUAUUUUAAUUUAAAUAAUAAUUUUUGUAAUUUAAAGAAAAUUACGAUAUCAAAAAUAAAAGAGAUGAAAUUCUAUAUAUCACGCAAAACUAUAUUAUAAUCAGAUUUAUAGCCUUUUUUUCGAUUUUCUCAAAUUUUCCACUGCUAGUAUUUAUUAUUGUUGUUACGAUCGUCGAAUAAUUGCUGAGAGAUAAUUUAAUAAAUUUAAUAUUCUUUCAAUUUUGUUUGUUUUCUUUUAGAAUCUAAUUACUACUAUUGCUUCGAACAAAUAAUAAUUGCAACAAUAAUUCUGUAAUUCUGUUGCAAUAGUAAUAAAUUAAGAAAUUUAAUUUAAGAAAUUUUCAAUUUUAUGAUUUGUUUCUGAUCUUACAGUCAUGUUUUGCUUAGAUCUUGUGAUGAUUUUCAACUAUAUAUAUCACAGUAAUAAAUAUAUAUGGCCGAUUCGUUAACUUCUAAAACAUUAUCGAUGAUAUUUAUCAAUACUAAUCGAUUGAUUUUUACUGGGACAUCAGUUGCAAUCAAUAUAAUCACGAUCAUCAUAAUCACUGCAGCAUUAAUACAACAAUCAUAUCAGCAAAUUCUCCAUAGCACUGAAAAAUUGUAAUAAUUCUAUCUAAAAUAUCUAAAAUAUCUUUCUAAAAUAUUUAAAAUAUCAUAUUUCCAAAUGUAUAUCAACAUCAUAUCGAUUUCAAAUGUAUUUUUUAAAAUUGUUUGAUUAUCUGUCCGCAGUAUAUCAACAUUUUCUGUUAUUGCUUCAUCGAAUAAUUCUGAUACUGUUCUGCAAUUAAUGGUCCGUCAUGUAUCGAUCAUCAUAGAACGAGGAACACUUUUAUAUUGUAAUAUGAUACAGAAAUGAAAAAGAUAAUCAAUUGUAAUAAAAUUCUUUAAAUUACUGUAUUAUCAAGUAAGUAUAUCGCAUAUAUGUAUCGUCUAAAAUGAACGAGUUGAAAAAAGUUUUUUCGUACUUGGAACAUCUGUUUCAUCAUCAAAUUUGUUGAAUUUAAUUAUAUAUUAAAAAGAAGAAAUUUGAAAAAGAAUAUUUGUUAAAAAAUCUAGCGACAAUUUAUAUAUAGCUAGACUCUAUUUGCAUCAUUCGCAAUCAGCAAAUAAUCAGGACAUUUAUAAUUUGCUUAUUCAAGAAAAUUAUUGUCAGGAAUUUUUAUAUAACACUUCAAUCUGGUUAGAGUGCAACCUAAUCCUAAAAUCUGAAAGGACAUUCUGUAGUCACGAUAACAUCAAACAACGAACAUCCUUAAGAAGAUUUAAAAAAAAACAUGCAUCAAUCGAUUUCUUAAUACAACGUGUCUUUGUGCGAUAUUUCUUCGAGGACAUCUUCUUCAUGAGCUAAUCUGCGGUGUCAUUGGCUUCUAUAUAAAUCAUCUUAAAUUAAUCAUGAUUUCCACGAGAAUCUUUUGCAAUUUACAAAAAAAUUUAAAUAAUUAUGAAUUUUUAUCAUGUUUUGAUCGAUAAACAUGAUUAUUCGCGAGAGAUGAGAAUACUUAGAGAAUAAUAAUAAAAGUAUACAAUUUUAUCAAUAUUGAAUCAUGUCCUAGAAUAUAUUUAAGAAGUAAAUAGAAUCUUAUUUAGUUGCCUGAUAAUGAUUUAUUGUGAAUUAUAAUGAGAGAUGUAAUUUUCGUAUUCAAGUAUACCGUACAUUAUACAUAUAGUCUAUUCAUUAUCAUUGGAAAUUUCUUUUUAAUAUUUUUGUGAGCGCGAACAUGUUAACACAUGCUAAUUAUUAACAAUAAUAUUUGCAUUCACCAAUUUCAUUUCCGUCUUUUUCUGUUUUCCUCUCCUAUAGAAUUUUAUCAUUAAAUAAAUAGAUUGAAAUUUGUAGCAAACAACUUAAAAAUAAAAUAUGACAGUUUUCUUAUGCUCGAUAUUCAUCUGCGAAAUUUCUUAUAUAUUUUGCACAUGUAAUAAUUCAAAUAAAAGUCAGUGAAAAAUCAAAUUUGUUAUAUUAUUAUUAUUAAUAAUAAUAAAAACAUUCUAUCUAUUUGAUUGUCUUAUAUUUUCGUGGAUAAUUUAAAUAACAUGGAAUGCAAUGUUGACAUGGUGUUUCGAUAUCAACCAGCACAUAAAUAUCAUAAGACAUUUCGAUGAAAAAAUAAUAACUUUUAGAUAAUGUAUAUAAAUCAUUAAUUGUAAAUACAAUUGAUUUAGAUAUUGUCAAAUAAUUAUAAAAACUCCAUCUUUGAUUUAUUGUUAUUACUUGUUACUUAUUAUUUAUAUUUACUAUUAUUUACUAUUAUUUAUUACUUGUUGUUUUUGUUUCAUUCUUAGGAUAUUAUUGUUUUUUAUUUUUACAGUUCGAGAGUUUAACAGAUAUCCUAAUAGAUAUCAUUCAAUUCAUAAUAUUUAUGUUGGGUUUUUGUGUUUGAAUCAAUAAAUCAGAAUCUACAUUUGAAAAUUCUAUAUCUUGCACUAAAUAAAAACGUGGUUGUGUUCUUCCAUCAUUACGAGAAGCGCAUUUGAUAACACAAUAUUGCAUCGAAUUAUAAUAAUUGAUAAUUCUUCAUUUCUUGGAAACCUUCUAACAAUAAGAUUAAGAACAAUUUCUAUUAUUUGUAUCAUUAAUAUGUAAUAAUUUUAAAAUAUAUUACUGUUCUCAAAA
This is a long non-coding RNA of Apis cerana (Asiatic honeybee), 4364 nucleotides long. RefSeq lists it as uncharacterized. The record is from RefSeq and is a predicted model, not a curated record. Lineage: Eukaryota; Metazoa; Arthropoda; Insecta; Hymenoptera; Apidae.